This 514-nucleotide ribosomal RNA is filed under the name uncultured bacterium. RNAcentral describes it as "bacterial SSU rRNA". It matches the Rfam family "Bacterial small subunit ribosomal RNA", at positions 17 to 518 of the family's 1533-position model. The record is from RNAcentral.
UCAUGGCGUCAGGAUGAACGCUAGCUACAGGCUUAACACAUGCAAGUCGAGGGGCAGCAUGGAGUUUGCUUGCAAACUCUGAUGGCGACCGGCGCACGGGUGAGUAACGCGUAUCCAACCUUCCCUAUAGUAGAGGAUAGCCCGGCGAAAGUCGGAUUAAUACUCUAUGUUUUCCGUUGCAGACAUCUAAGAUGGAACAAAGGCUUGCCGCUAUAGGAUGGGGGAUGCGUCUGAUUAGGUAGUCGGCGGGGUAACGGCCCACCGAGCCAUCGAUCAGUAGGGGUUCUGAGAGGAAGGUCCCCCACAUUGGAACUGAGACACGGUCCAAACUCCUACGGGAGGCAGCAGUGAGGAAUAUUGGUCAAUGGGCGAGAGCCUGAACCAGCCAAGUAGCGUGCAGGAUGACGGCCCUAUGGGUUGUAAACUGCUUUUAUGCGGGGAUAAAGUUCACUACGUGUAGUGUUUUGUAGGUACCGCAUGAAUAAGGACCGGCUAAUUCCGUGCCAGCCGCGGC